GACGAACGCUGGCGGCGUGCUUAACACAUGCAAGUCGAACGGAAAGGCCUGCUUUCCCUUGUGGAUUGCGGGUACUCGAGUGGCGAACGGGUGAGUAACACGUGAGUGAUCUGCCCCCAACUUGGGUAUAAGCCUGGGAAACUGGGUCUAAUUCCCGAUAGGACUGCAGGGUGGUGCCUGUGUUGGAAAACGAUUUUCUAGUGGUUGGGGAUGAGCUGGCGGCCUAUCAGCUUGUUGGUGGGGUAAUGGCCUACCAAGGCGGCGACGGGUAGCCGGCCUGGGAGGGUGGACGGCGACAUUGGGACUGGGAUACGGCCCAGACUGCUACGGGAGGCAGCAGUCGGGAAUAAUGGACGAUGGGCGGAAGCCUGAAGCAGGGACGCGGGGUGGGGGAUGACGGCUUGCGGGUUGUAAACUCCUUGCGACAGAGAGGAAGCCACCUGGUUGGAAGGGUGGUGACGGUAGUGGUAGAAGAAGCACCGGCUAACUACGUG
Molecule: ribosomal RNA, 494 nt
Filed under: uncultured bacterium
Lineage: Bacteria
Description: partial 16S ribosomal RNA
Rfam family: Bacterial small subunit ribosomal RNA
Source: RNAcentral